AGUGCGCAGUACUGGCCUUCAGCGUGCGCAGAAACUCCGUCUCAGUUGCUAUAUUGUUCUGCUCCAGCUCUUCCGAACUGCAUCGGUUCUUGUCCAACAGCAUGUUGAGCUUGCUCAGGUCGUUGUCCAGGUCCCUCAUGUGGCGGCUCACUAUCUUUUGUUCCUUCUUCUCAUGUGCAAUCUUGCCUGCAGGGGACAGGCAAGCGGAGGAUUGAAGGGUUAGGGUCCUCAGCAGGCAGCAGCCAUGCCCUCCUGUGGCUCCUUCCUAUCCGGUCUGAUUCAGCCAGGUGCUCCUCCACGGAUGGUGUGUGUGUGUGUGUGUGUGUGUGUGUGUGUGUGUGUGUGUGUGUGUGUGUGUGGUGUGCCUUGCUGCACUUUCUUUUCCAAAGCCUGGUCUCUGGAGGGAACUGCAAGGACCACGUGCUGCAGAAGCCCAGGCAGAGAGCAGAGGGGGCCUCACACCUGAUCCUCCCCAGCAGGUAGGUAGCUGCAAGGAGGAGCCAAGGGCUGCAGCGAGGGCAUGUAGCCCACCACAUCUCUGGGAAGUGGGCAAGCACAGUCGCUCCAGACAUUUCGGAGAAACCUAACUGGACCACGUGGGACCCAGGAAGUUCCAGUCACAUGCUGUAUGCUGGUGGUGACGCUGGCAGGCCCUGGGGUCUCAGAUACAGCUGCAUUUUCAUGGCUUGCUUUGCUUCUGUUUUGAAACAGGGUUUUUCUAUUUAGCCCAGGCCAGCCUCAAAUUUACAGCCUACCGACUGCUGGGAUUACGGGUGCGGGUGCGUGCUGCCUGGUCUGGGGUUCGCGUGGCUGGCAGAGCUUAGUGCUGUGUGGCCCCUUCCCCAGAGCGCCCCAGGCUCACUCUCUAUGCGAAGCUUCUUUUGUUCCAUGAUGUGCACCUCCUUCUUCAGUUGGUCCACGGACACCAGCUGCUCCUCGCGCUCAUGCGUGACCUGGACCAGUUCCUGCUGCAGGCGCAACCAGGUCAUCUGCGCCUCAGCCACUCCCGUGUUGUACUCUUCUGUCAGCUUCGACAGCCUUUUGAUCUCCAGUUCCAGGGGUCCAGCUUCUUCCCCCUGGAGGGGAGUUAAUAAAAGUGAAGCAUGAGCCUUGGGCUCCACGGGCGUGCAUUAUUAUUAUUACUUAUGUGUGGUAUGUAUAUAUAUAUAUAUAUAUAUAUAUAUAUAUAUAUAUAUGUGUGUGUGUAUAUGUGUGUGUGUGUGUGUGUAUAUAUAUAUGUGUGUGUGUGUGUGUAUAUAUAUAUAUGUGUGUGUGUGUGUCUGUGUCUGUGUGCGCGCCUGUGUAGCCAUGGAGGUAAGGUUUCCACACUGAGUGUUAGUUUGUUCAGACAGCGUCUCCUGCUGAACCUGUUACUCACUGGCUGAUUAGACUGACUGGCCAACAGGCCACAGCAAUACUACAGCCUCUUUCCCAGCUCUGGGGUGCAGAGGUCCCCUGCCUGGCUUUUACUGUGGGUGCUGGGUGGACCCACAUCUUUAUGACGACAAAGCAACUGCCUUGCCGAUUGAGCUAGCUCCCGGAAGGCCUUCUUUUGGAGGGGGCUACGGAGAACCAUGAAUCAAGGCAUUGACUCCAGGGGCUCAGAGAGUCCUCACACUUGGGACACUUCACUACAGUGAUGGGGGAAGGGAGCGGGGAGAGGGCGUGGCUCGGGGCUCUGGGCGGCGCCUCACCCCCAGCUCCGACACCAUCUGUUCCAGCUGCUUGUUGAAGAAGUUGAUGAGGCUCUGCUUCCUCUCAAUGAGGAUGGUGCGCCGGGCGAUCUCGCUCUCGCUGUUGGUGAUGAGAUCGUUGAACCUCUUUACCUCCUUGUCCAUCUCUGCCAGCGUCUUCUUAUGCAUGUCUAUUUUGCAGUUGGUGUUGGUGAUGUCCAGGGUGGCCUGGGCGAUAUCGCCGUCAAUUUUUGAAAGAUGUGUCACCUGAGGGCACGAAGGGACAUAGGUGUGAGCUUUCUCCGUCUUUGGCUGGGCUAGACUGCAGUGUCCUCGACAUUCGACUGGUAUAUGAAGAGAUCCCUGCAUGCCAUCAGGAGGAAGCUAACUGGCCCUGCAUCUCAAGGACCUUCAAGGACCACCACAAAGCACAAGGGGCCUGCUUACCCAAUGGAGACAGCGUGCAUAAAAUAAAGCAGUGUUGUGGCC
This 2162-nucleotide long non-coding RNA is filed under the name Mus musculus (house mouse). Its description in RNAcentral is "predicted gene, 35932, transcript variant 3 (Gm35932)". Lineage: Eukaryota; Metazoa; Chordata; Mammalia; Rodentia; Muridae. The record is from RNAcentral.